Molecule: ribosomal RNA, 253 nt
Filed under: uncultured Eubacteriales bacterium
Lineage: Bacteria; Bacillati; Bacillota; Clostridia; Eubacteriales
Description: uncultured Clostridiales bacterium partial 16S ribosomal RNA
Rfam family: Bacterial small subunit ribosomal RNA
Source: RNAcentral
UACGUAGGGGGCAAGCGUUAUCCGGAUUUACUGGGUGUAAAGGGAGCGUAGACGGCGUGCCAAGUCUGAUGUGAAAGGCCGGGGCCCAACCCCGGGACUGCUCUGGAAACUAUUGAACUUGAGUGCAGGAGAGGUAAGCGGAAUUCCUAGUGUAGCGGUGAAAUGCGUAGAUAUUAGGAGGAACACCAGUGGCGAAGGCGGCUUACUGGACUGUAACUGACGUUGAGGCUCGAAAGCGUGGGGAGCAAACAGG